This 938-nucleotide ribosomal RNA is filed under the name uncultured organism. RNAcentral describes it as "SSU rRNA". It matches the Rfam family "Bacterial small subunit ribosomal RNA", at positions 26 to 953 of the family's 1533-position model. The record is from RNAcentral.
AGGAUGAACGCUAGCUACAGGCUUAACACAUGCAAGUCGAGGGGCAGCAUGGUCUUAGCUUGCUAAGGCUGAUGGCGACCGGCGCACGGGUGAGUAACACGUAUCCAACCUGCCGUCUACUCUUGGCCAGCCUUCUGAAAGGAAGAUUAAUCCAGGAUGGGAUCAUGAGUUCACAUGUCCGCAUGAUUAAAGGUAUUUUCCGGUAGACGAUGGGGAUGCGUUCCAUUAGAUAGUAGGCGGGGUAACGGCCCACCUAGUCAACGAUGGAUAGGGGUUCUGAGAGGAAGGUCCCCCACAUUGGAACUGAGACACGGUCCAAACUCCUACGGGAGGCAGCAGUGAGGAAUAUUGGUCAAUGGGCGAUGGCCUGAACCAGCCAAGUAGCGUGAAGGAUGACUGCCCUAUGGGUUGUAAACUUCUUUUAUAAAGGAAUAAAGUCGGGUAUGCAUACCCGUUUGCAUGUACUUUAUGAAUAAGGAUCGGCUAACUCCGUGCCAGCAGCCGCGGUAAUACGGAGGAUCCGAGCGUUAUCCGGAUUUAUUGGGUUUAAAGGGAGCGUAGAUGGAUGUUUAAGUCAGUUGUGAAAGUUUGCGGCUCAACCGUAAAAUUGCAGUUGAUACUGGAUGUCUUGAGUGCAGUUGAGGCAGGCGGAAUUCGUGGUGUAGCGGUGAAAUGCUUAGAUAUCACGAAGAACUCCGAUUGCGAAGGCAGCCUGCUAAGCUGCAACUGACAUUGAGGCUCGAAAGUGUGGGUAUCAAACAGGAUUAGAUACCCUGGUAGUCCACACGGUAAACGAUGAAUACUCGCUGUUUGCGAUAUACGGCAAGCGGCCAAGCGAAAGCGUUAAGUAUUCCACCUGGGGAGUACGCCGGCAACGGUGAAACUCAAAAGGAAUUGACGGGGGCCCGCACAAGCGGAGGAACAUGUGGUUUAAUUCG